CAGGAAAACACUUCAGUCAGGCUGCAGGAGGGCGUGUAUGACGCGUGGAGUGACGUCAUCAUACUUUCCUGUGGCCAUUCAGCAGCAGCGCCGCGCACUAAACCGCAGUUUUCCUCAUAAUAUCGCGUUUAAUUUAUAUUUUCCCCGCGUUGCCUUUUCUUUCUUGUUUAUAACGCACACAGCCUGCAAGGUGUCCUGUCCAUCGGUAGAGGUUCGACACAGGUGAGUUGUUUUUCUCUGAGCUUCGUCAGGAGGACACAAACUUUGUUGUUCCGCUGUUUAGCUAUGUGCUAACUGGAAACAUGACUUGUUUGCUGAGACUUGUUGCUCGUGCACGAGCGGUUAGCUCGCUAGCUACAAGUAUUUACGUAGACAGUUACAAAGAGACGCGUGUGCUUGUGUUGAACUUCGUACUGUACGGUGAUCUGUAACGGUCAGUUAGCUACUGGGACGUUUAAUCGAGGCAACAAGUUAGCGAUAAUGAAACCACACCGAGUUUUAGUAGUAAGCUUUUUUGAUUCAGACCGCUCGAGAUGUUUAUCAGCGGUUCAUCAUCCAUUUCGUGCUCGUUGUAGCCGCAGACAGCAACAGCCAACUAACGGAAACAUUUUCAUACUGAAGGUAGCUCGAGUUCAUUCAAUAACUUCGCUUUUGUGCAUCAGUGCUGUCCCAGAGAUUAGAAAGAUGCUGUUUGGGGGCAAAACUAUAAAAAGAGUUGAUUCCCAAUUCAAGUCAUUCGUAAAUAAUUGUCAUUCCUCUGUAUAGCCUGUAUACACUGGAGCACUUCUCCAGGACCAGAUGCAACACAGAACUGUACACAAGACUACAUAAAGUGCUAUACACAGCAGUGUGAGAUGAGUGCAGGACAGUAAAUACACUGGACGUGGACAUUCUCUGAACGGGGACAGUAAAUUCAGUGGACGUGGACAGUAAAUACAGUGGACGUGGACAGUCACUUGACGGGGACAGUAAAUACACUGGACGGGGACAGUCCCUGGACGUGGACAGUAAAUACACUGGAUGUGGACAGUCUCUGGACGUGGACAGUCUCUGGAGGUGGACUGUCACUGGACGUGGACAGUAAAUACACUGGACAUGGACAGUCUCAGGACGUGGACAGUCUCUGGAGGUGGACAGUAAAUACACUGGCUGUGGACUGUCACUGGACGUGGACAGUAAAUACACUGGCUGUGGACUGUCACUGGACGUGGACAGUAAAUACACUGGCUGUGGACUGUCACUGGACGUGGACAGUAAAUACACUGGCUGUGGACUGUCACUGGACGUGGACAGUAAAUACACUGGCUGUGGACUGUCACCGGACGUGGACAGUAAAUACACUGGAUGUGGACUGUCACUGGACGUGGACAGUAAAUACACUGGAUGUGGACUGUAAACUGUGUAUUAUUUGUAUUGUUGCAGCAAAAACAAGUUCCAUGAUAAGUUAUUGCAGCUUUGUAAAGUGCAGGUGUGUGAUGUUUUUGUGUUAUACUGGGUUAAGUGUUUGAUUAGUCGGAAGCAACAGGGUGUUGAGUAAAGACUUCCAAAAAAUUAUCCAAAUCCGCGGUGAGAGUCAUGAGUUAUGGCCAAGUCCCUGAGCACCAGAUACACGUGUGCAUUAAUUGCGUUAAUCUUACUUGACCAGUUUCUUGUGGGUUUUAAAAAAAAUCAGACAUCUUUGAAUUUUAGUGUGCAUUUUAUUCAUUUGGCAGAAGUGACUUUAAAGUGCACCUGUACACCUCUAAAGUGCAAUUAUUUUUUCAGAUAUUACCUUUCAUGUAGUGUUUUAGAGCUGUUUGUGAUUGUAAAAAGUCUGCAAAAUUUUUAAAUCAAAGUGCACGACAGAGUUCUUGAUUCCCAAAAGAAGGAAGCGAUUGUGAACAGCUGAAACGAGUCGUUAGUGAUUCCAGACUUACUUCCUGUACUAACAUACGUAGGUUUGUGACAAAAAACCCCACCUUUGGUCUUCAUCACCUGCUCGCUGACAGACGGAGCUGAAAGUUGUUAUGGUAGUGGGCGUUUCCUUUUUGAAUCAUACUGACAGCGGUAGACCAAUCACAACAGACUGGGACAUCUGGUCAAUCAGAGCAUAGUAUGCUCUCUGAAAGGAGGAGUUUAGAACGAAUCCUUUAGAAGGGAUCAGUCGUUUGUGACUUUGGUCAGGAAAAGAUAAUGCUGCAGUUUAAAUUAUGAGCAUGUUAGUGUUUUUUGACCUUGGAUGCAUGUAAAUCUUUUGUAUGAGUCCUUUAAAACAAAAUUAGGCACAUUUCAAAACCAUAAUAGGCGCACUUUAAUGCUGUCCAGGAGUUGUAUAAAGUACCCAAUAUUUGACUAAAACUAAAUAUACCUAUUUGGAAAAUGACUCGAGUAACCUAUAAAGAAAUGACUUAGAAAGACAUUUUGGUGUAUCUGCUAUUGUACAGGUGUCCCAAAAGUCUCCAUACAUAGGUUAAUUAAGCUUUUAUAUAUAUAUAUAUAUAUAUA
Long non-coding RNA from Ictalurus punctatus (channel catfish), 2484 nucleotides. The record is from Ensembl. Lineage: Eukaryota; Metazoa; Chordata; Actinopteri; Siluriformes; Ictaluridae.